CCUACGGUGUGCUGCAGUGAGGAAUAUUGGUCAAUGGCCGGAAGGCUGAACCAGCCAUGCCGCGUGAAGGUCAGUGCCCUAUGGGCGUUAAACUUCUUUUGUGCGGGAGCAAUAAUGGUCACGUGUGGCCAGACGAGAGUACCGUACGAAUAAGCAUCGGCUAACUCCGUGCCAGCAGCCGCGGUAAUACGGGGGAUGCAAGCGUUAUCCGGAUUUAUUGGGUUUAAAGGGUGCGUAGGCUGUGAGGUAAGUCAGCGGUGAAAUGCCCCCGCUCAACGGGGUGAAGUGCCAUUGAUACUGCCUUGCUGGAAUGCGGAUGCGGUGGGAGGAAUGUGUGGUGUAGCGGUGAAAUGCGUAGAUAUUAGGAGGAACACCAGUGGCGAAGGCGGCUUACUGGACUGUAACUGACGUUGAGGCUCGAAAGCGUGGGGAGCAAACAGGAUUAGAUACCCGAGUAGUC
This 460-nucleotide ribosomal RNA is filed under the name uncultured bacterium. RNAcentral's name for it is "partial 16S ribosomal RNA". It matches the Rfam family "Bacterial small subunit ribosomal RNA", at positions 338 to 795 of the family's 1533-position model. The record is from RNAcentral.